Molecule: long non-coding RNA, 2499 nt
Filed under: Vitis vinifera (wine grape)
Lineage: Eukaryota; Viridiplantae; Streptophyta; Magnoliopsida; Vitales; Vitaceae
Description: long non-coding RNA (VVIN_LNC001886)
Source: RNAcentral
AUAUCAGCUCAUCGCAGAAGAAAGAAAGUGAGGAAAAGCAUCAAGUUUCUGAAUGUGUAGGCCUGCAGAAGAGGCAACAAAUGAAGAUGUUACAAGUUGGGAAGCUAAUUAGGGAUUAUCCAUCCAAGAAGCUGAAAAUCCAUGAAAGAGGAGCUUUGGGGUUCAGAGGCCAAGAAGAUGCUGGAAACAAAGGGGGUGCUUCUUGGAAGGAUUUUCUAAAAACAGGGUUCAAUUUGGGACCAAAAGAAGUUGAUACGGACAAGAAGAGUAGUGAUGAUAGAAUUAUACCUGGGGGACAACUUGAUGAUCAGAUUGCAAAGAAUACAAAGAAGACCCCAAAGUUCGUAAGCUAUAUGGAUGUUUCUGAUAAUAAGCGAUUUCUGAAGACAUUAUUACCGAGGACAUAUAAACACGGCGCUCGCAAUAAAGCCUUUCCGACUUACCAAGCCUUGACCAUGGGGAAUAAGCAUGCAUCAUCUUCACAUACCGCAGCUUCUGAGGAAGAAGGCCUAGCCGUUGGCACUUCCAAGCAUGCCAAACAAGUGGUUCAAAAAGCCCACAAGUGCCGGACCUGCAACAAGAGCUUCCCCACGGGUCAGGCUCUUGGGGGCCACCAGACAUCUCAUCGGCAGAAGCCAGCCCAAUUAGCCACACCCAGACAAGAAGCAUUAAUAUUGUCUGAUGAAGAAGCCAGCCAGAGUGCAGGCCCAAGAGUUUUGGAUUUCGAUCUCAAUGAGCUUCCCCCGAUGGAAGAAGAAUGAAGGUGGUGCAGUGCAGUUGUAAUUGUGCAUCUUUUUUCCUACAAUUCAAUAAGUUACAGUUGCUGGGUAAAGGCCUAUAGAUAUUGUAUAUAUUCUUAUAUUUUCCAUAUGGGAACCAUACAGUUCUAAGCUUUCUCAGGUGGAACAGCUGAAAGUUAUUUCUUUCCUGUUGGAUUCAGCCCUAAAAUUGAUAGAAUUCGUUUGGAAUAUUGUUAGGGCUUUUGUACGCAUGCAUUAUCUCCAGAAACAAUCAAUAAGAAUAAGAACAAGAACUGGAGGCUGGUUUAGUUUCAUGACACCAAAACUUACUUGAAUAUUGUUACUGAUCAGCUCCAUUGUUUGCUCCAUACCAUACAUACAUACAUCAUACCAUAAUUGGAUGAAUUGUUUUUACAAAUAAGUUUUCUAUUCUGAUUUGUAAAAUCACUGUAAAUUUAAUUUAUACAAUAUUAAUUACAUUUAAUUCAAAUAUUAUUAAAAAUGAAAUUAGUUUUGUAAUUAUAAAUAAAUUUAAAAAAUACAUAGUUUUUAGUAAAAAUGAAUGGUAAUGUUCUAAUAAAAAAAAUAUAUAUUUUUUAUAUUAAAAAAAUAUAAUAUUUUAAUAUAUUUUUAAAAAAUAUGGAUAUUAAUAUCUUUAAAAGCACAACUGAUUUCCUUUUUAUUAAAAACAAAUUAUAAUAAUAAUUGUUAGUAAAAUUUAACUUUUUUAAUAUGUAAACAAGUCAAAUUUUUCAUUACUUGUACAUAUUUAAUAAUUAAUUACCAAGUAUUUUAGAAUGUCUUGAUUUAAUAUGUAAUUAAUUGGACCAAUUUUUUGAAUUCUAAAUUAUUCUUAAAAUUUAAAAGAUUCAUUAAAAAUAUUAAAUUAUUAAUUAUAUUUCACUUAAUUUAGAAUUUAUUGACCCAGUAAGAAAAUUUAAAAAAUUUAAUUGUGCAUAUGACAAAAACAAUAAGGUUAGGAAUCAUAAUAUAUUAAUUUUUCUAUAUUAUAUUUUGUAUUGAUUACAUACAUCUAUGUUUUGAGUUACAACUUAUUUUUAAAAAAAAAAAUUGAAACCCAUUAAUAAAUUCAAUACAAAGUAUUUGUUUAGUUUGAAAUUCAUUUAUCUAAAGAAAAAAUUUACAAAAUAUAUAAUUAUAUGCUCAAAAAAAAUAAUAGAGUCCUUAUAAAUCAAUUUUUAUUCAUAAAUUUGUAGUAUUGAUAGUUGUUUAUUUUGUUUUUAAAUUAUUAGACUCGGUUUUAUCAAAGAUUCGAUGGGAGGUGGCAAAUGCUGAUGAUGGAAAAGUAGAAGAGGAAUAGCGGAGGCAAGAGCGUUUUGCAACACCAGCAGCAAAGAGUUUCGAGGGGUCAGAUGAGAUCUCACCUUGAUUAUCAGGGCAACAGAAACAUUGGUUCCAACAAGAAGCAGGUCUUGACAACAACAUAAAGGAGGAAUCAGGUAGCAAGCACACUACUGACAGAAGCAAAAACAGAAACAAGCUCGAUCAAGAAAUAGAAAGCGAGUCGCUUCUUGUGGCACCCAGGGAGUCUAAGUGCAGCACUUGCCAUAAGGUCUUCCCAACUCUCCAAGCCUUAGGUGGACACAGGUCCAGCCAUAGUUAUAAGAACAACCUCCAAGCCAUGGAUUCAGCCCUAGAACUGAUAGAAUUGGAUUGGAAUGUAAUGGCUUUUGUACACAUGCAUUGUCUCCUAAAACAAUCAACAAGAAUAAGAACAAGCACUGUGGGGUGGUUUUGU